CAGUUACCUUCAGUUCAGCUUCAACACAAACCAUGUUCCCUGCAUCUCUGCUGUUGGUGCUGGCAGCUGUAUCCUGUGUGUUCUGUCAGACUGAACUCACACAACCAGGCUCAAUGACCCUGCAGCCUGGACAGCCUCUGACCCUCUCGUGUAAAGUCUCUGGGUAUUCUUUAACCAGCAACAGCUACUGUACAGGUGUGAAUCGCCAACCUGCAGGAAAAGCACUGGAGUGGAUCGGAUUCAUUUGUCACGAUGGUAGCACAUAUUACAGUGAUAAACUGAAAAACAAGUUCAGUAUCUCCAGAGACAUGUCCAGCAGCACAAUGACUUUAACAGGACAGAGUCUGCAGACUGAAGACACAGCUGUGUAUUAUUGUGCUCGCUACCCACAAUGA
This is a non-coding RNA of Salvelinus sp. IW2-2015, 395 nucleotides long. NCBI's taxonomy places the organism in Eukaryota, Metazoa, Chordata, Actinopteri, Salmoniformes, Salmonidae. The record is from the annotation of a RefSeq genome assembly.